Molecule: long non-coding RNA, 136 nt
Organism: Sander lucioperca (pikeperch)
Lineage: Eukaryota; Metazoa; Chordata; Actinopteri; Perciformes; Percidae
Exons: 2
Source: RefSeq, a predicted model, not a curated record
CACUACACAAAAAGCUUGAGUCAUGUGUUGACCUACCCAUUGCUGACUGAUAAUCACCAAGCUACUUCCUGAUAACACUGUCUCAUACUUCUACCGUACUGGCUGUGACACACACACACACACACACACACACACA